RNAcentral lists this ribosomal RNA (486 nucleotides) under uncultured bacterium. RNAcentral's name for it is "partial 16S ribosomal RNA". It matches the Rfam family "Bacterial small subunit ribosomal RNA", at positions 29 to 507 of the family's 1533-position model. The record is from RNAcentral.
AUUGAACGCUGGCGGCAUGCCUUGCACAUGCAAGUCGAACGGCAGCACGGGUGCUUGCACCUGGUGGCGAGUGGCGAACGGGUGAGUAAUACAUCGGAACAUGUCCUGUAGUGGGGGAUAGCCCGGCGAAAGCCGGAUUAAUACCGCAUACGAUCUACGGAUGAAAGCGGGGGACCUUCGGGCCUCGCGCUAUAGGGUUGGCCGAUGGCUGAUUAGCUAGUUGGUGGGGUAAAGGCCUACCAAGGCGACGAUCAGUAGCUGGUCUGAGAGGACGACCAGCCACACGGGGACUGAGACACGGCCCAGACUCCUACGGGAGGCAGCAGUGGGGAAUGUUGGACAAUGGGCGAAAGCCUGAUCCAGCAAGGCCGCGUGUGUGAAGAAGGCCUUCGGGUUGUAAAGCACUUUUGUCCGGAAAGAAAUCCUUGGCCCUAAUACGGUCGGGGGAUGACGGUACCGGAAGAAUAAGCACCGGCUAACUACGUG